ACAGGCUAAUGAUCCCCAAGAGUUCUCAUUGCCGGGAUCGAUUGGCACCUCGAUGUCGGCUCAUUUUUUCCUGGAUAAGUAGAAUGAUCCAAGGGUACGUCUGUUCGACGUUUAAAAAAGUACGUGAGCUGGGUUUAGAACGUCGUGAGACAGUUCGGUCCCUAUCCAUCGUGGGCGGAGGAGACUUGAAGGGGGCUGGCCCUAGUACGAGAGGACUGGGAUGGACGCACCUCUAGUGUACCAGUUAUCACGCCAGUGGUAUCGCUGGGUAGCUAUGUGCGGAACGGAUAAGCGCUGAAAGCAUAUAAGCGCGAAGCUGGCCCUGAGAUGAGGUCUCCCGUGGGGUAACCCACCUAAAGGCCCCUUCGAGAGUAGGAGGUUGAUAGGCCAGAGGUGUAAGCGUGGUGACACGUUCAGCCGACUGGUACUAAUCGGCCGUGCGGCUUGAUCGA
Molecule: ribosomal RNA, 452 nt
Filed under: Candidatus Eiseniibacteriota bacterium
Lineage: Bacteria; Candidatus Eiseniibacteriota
Description: partial 23S ribosomal RNA
Rfam family: Bacterial large subunit ribosomal RNA
Source: RNAcentral